Molecule: long non-coding RNA, 2059 nt
Filed under: Olea europaea subsp. europaea
Lineage: Eukaryota; Viridiplantae; Streptophyta; Magnoliopsida; Lamiales; Oleaceae
Source: RNAcentral
GUUGUAUCCUGAGUAUGCAUCCAUGAAGUUCAAGAGCUCAUGUCCAGCAGUGGAGUCCACCAGUUGGUCUAUCCUUGGGAGGGGGAAUCUGUCCUCAGGACACGCCUUGUUCAGAUUUGUGAAAUCCACACACACCCUCCAUUUCUCACUAGGUUUCUGCACGAGGACUGUGUUGGAUAUCCACUUCGGAUAGAUGACCUCUCUAAUGAAGCCACUGUGGCUUAAUUUGUCGACUUCUUUUUUGAGCGUUUCAUACCGUUCCGAGUUGAGGGCUCAUCUUUUCUGCCGAUGCGUGGCGCAGGAUUGGUUAAUGAUAAGGUGGUGGCAGCUGACCCUUGGGUCUAUUCCCACCAUGUCUUUGUGCUUCCAAGCGAAGACAUCCAGGUUCCUUUUCAGAAAGUUUAUCAUUUCUUCUUUCACUUCGGGGAGUAGCGCUUUCCCAAUCCACAAGACUUGAAUAGGGUCUUCAGGGUUGGUGGGGAAAGUUUCCAAUUCUUCCAUUGGAGUCGCCUUUGGUUCGGACUUGAUGAUUCGAGGAUCUAACUCAUCAAGAAUGUGCACUUCUUCAGGGGCCUCUACCAUGUCGACGUCUUCCUCCUGUUCGGAAGUAUGCCCUUGUUCAGGGGUGUCGAACAUUUCUAUGUCCACAUUGGCUUCGUUUGCAGCCUCUACUAUCAUGACAUUAAUAGUGCGGAGUUUGGAUUUUCGCAGAGAGUUGAGGUAACACGCCCUUAAGCCCAUGUGGUCGUCUCAAACUGUAGCAAUCCCAUGCUCAGUUGGGAACGUCAUACACAAGUAAUGGAUGGAUGUAACUGCACAAAGAUCUUUCAAGGCAGGUCAGCCCAAUACUCCAUGGUAAGCCGAUCUGUGAUCUACCACCAGGAACUCCAUGAAGUGGUGGGCCACUAGGAGGGCUAACCCAUCUCGACAGGUAGAGUAGUUCACCCUCGUGAGAUGAUGCUGUCGCCAAUAAAUCCAAAUAGCGGGUUAGUCAUGAGGAUCAACUCAUGUUCAAUCUGCAUUUUAUCAAAGGUGGAUCCAAACAAUAUAUUCACCGAGCUUCCAUUGUCAACGAGCAUGCAUUUAAGCCUGUUUUGAGCUACUGCGGCUCUCAUCACUAACGCAUCACAAUGGGGUGGUGAACUCCUUGUGCAUUUUCUUGAGAGAAAGUGAUCGGGGUCAUCCUAUUGGCCUCUUGGGUCUAACUGACAAUGUAAAUAAUCAUUGGUGGAUCCUUUGCUUUCCUUGCGUAGUUCCUCUGGGUGUUUCUGGUGUUACCCCCGAUGUGAGGUCCUCAAAUGAUUGUAUCAAUUUCCUUGAUAACUUGGCCUCUAGAUGGGGUCUAAUCCCUAUACCUGGAUUCUCCUCUAUCCCUAGAUUCUCUCAUCUGGGGCGAUUGGUCUCUAUAUCGCCUCUCUCUCCUAUUCGGGGAGAUAGGCCUGUAGGGGUAUUCAUUCCUUUUUAAGGAGCACAGGUUACUCCGAUUCGAGGAUCGAGGAGCAUCCCUACAUUCGCUGGUGUCGUGUCCAUAAAGUUGGUGAAAGGUGCAGAACAUUGUCCCUUCCAGGGGCCUGUUUGAUCGCUUCUUAUUCUUCUUUCAAUUGUUGUUUAUCAUUUUCAUAUGCUAGACUGGCACUGCAUUUCGAGUGGCCGAAGCCAAUGCCUACUCGGAUGUGGAGGCUACUAUGUGACCGGCCUGGGUCCAUUGUUGGGUGACGAGGUGUGCAAUUGGUCCUUGACCCAUCUGCCUCUGAGGCGGGGGAAGUCUUUGAGCUACACUGUUCCGGUGGUCAAUCAUCUUCUCAUUGACGAUUUCCACCCUCAUCAUUUCAACCAACUCGUCAUAGGUGGUGAGAUUCUUGCUGCAUACAUCCCUCCAGAACAGUGUGUUCAUGUUGAGGCCACUUUUCAAGGCUGAAAGGGCCUCUCUGUCAGUGACUUGCUCGCAGUAUAGUGAAUCUGGCGAGAUAGCUUUUCAACGUCUCGCUAGGAGCUUGCCUCAUGUCUUGCAGACAUUAUACUGGGGCCUCUCCUUCCCUUCUUAAAAAGUAUUGGUUCA